This 497-nucleotide ribosomal RNA is filed under the name uncultured bacterium. RNAcentral's name for it is "partial 16S ribosomal RNA". It matches the Rfam family "Bacterial small subunit ribosomal RNA", at positions 28 to 507 of the family's 1533-position model. The record is from RNAcentral.
GAUGAACGCUGGCGGCGUGCCUAAUACAUGCAAGUCGAACGAACGGACGAGAAGCUUGCUGCUCUGAUGUUAGCGGCGGACGGGUGUGUAACACGUGGAUAACCUACCUAUAAGUCUGGGAUAACUUCGGGAAACCGGCGCUAAUCCCGGAUAAUCUUUUGAACCGCAUUGUUCAAAAGUGAAAGACGGUCUUGCUGUCUCUUAUCGCUGGAUCGGCGCUGCAUUAGCUAGUUGUUAAGGUAACGGCUUACCAAGGCAACGAUGCAUAGCCGACCGGAGAGAGGGGUAGGCGGCAUGGGAGCGGAGACGCGGACAAGGGUCCUGAGAGAGGCAGCAGUAGGGUACGUGACGCAAUGGGGGAGAGCAUGACGGAGCAAGGCGGCGUGAGAGAUAAAGGUCUUCGGAUCGGAAAACUCGGUUAUGAGGGAAGAACAGAUGUGGAAGUAAAUGUGCAGAUCGUGACGGUAACUAAUCAGAAAGCCACGGCUAACUACGUG